RNAcentral lists this ribosomal RNA (515 nucleotides) under uncultured archaeon. Its description in RNAcentral is "bacterial SSU rRNA". It matches the Rfam family "Archaeal small subunit ribosomal RNA", at positions 345 to 859 of the family's 1478-position model. The record is from RNAcentral.
AAACUUUACACUGUACGCAAGUGCGAUAAGGGGACUCCGAGUGUGAAGGCAUAGAGCCUUCACUUUUGUACACCGUAAGGUGGUGUACGAAUAAGGGCUGGGCAAGACCGGUGCCAGCCGCCGCGGUAAUACCGGCAGCCCGAGUGAUGGCCGAUAUUAUUGGGCCUAAAGCGUCCGUAGCUGGCCGGACAAGUCCGUUGGGAAAUCUGCUCGCUUAACGAGCAGGCGUCCAGCGGAAACUGUUCGGCUUGGGACCGGAAGACCUGAGGGGUACGUCCGGGGUAGGAGUGAAAUCCUGUAAUCCUGGACGGACCACCGGUGGCGAAAGCGCCUCAGGAGAACGGAUCCGACAGUGAGGGACGAAAGCUAGGGUCUCGAACCGGAUUAGAUACCCGGGUAGUCCUAGCUGUAAACGAUGCCCGCUAGGUGUGGCGCAGGCUACGAGCCUGCGCUGUGCCGUAGGGAAGCCGAGAAGCGGGCCGCCUGGGAAGUACGUCUGCAAGGAUGAAACUUAA